Paramuricea clavata is the source of this 731-nucleotide non-coding RNA. Lineage: Eukaryota; Metazoa; Cnidaria; Anthozoa; Malacalcyonacea; Plexauridae. The record is from the annotation of a GenBank genome assembly.
AUUUUUUUGAAAAUCUCUGUUUCUUACUGCAGUAUUUCUGUUAUUGCAGCGGUUAACAAAUUAUAUGGAAAUACGACGAUAUAAGUUAAAUUUCAAAAUUCUUAUGUGUUCAUAUGCAGUGAAUCAAACGAAAAAUGCAACCUUUGUUACAAUUAUUUAAAAUAUUACAAAAAUAAAAAACAACUAAAUUUUAUCGCCAUAUUUCUCCAUAAUUCGGCAACCGCUACAAUAAUGCAAAAGUCAAAACAAAAUAGUAAAUGACAACAGACUACAAAAGCGGAAGUGGGAAGGUUGUAGUAUUUUGACUGCAAUUAUGUACAAAAAUAUGUUGCAUCCAUGCUGCAAGAAUUAAUGUCCGACCUUUCCGGCAAAAUUUCCAUUUACAGGGACAGAAAAAGAUUACAAGACAAGUUGAAUAAAAAAGUUAAAGCACCGAACACUUUUUAUGUACAGCCAGAGAUACUGACAGCUUUGAAAUUUGCUACAACCACAGAAAGUACUGCCCGAUUAUACCUUAAAAAGAUAUUUAACAGUUGUGAAAUUAUUCAUGCGAAUAAGCCAAGAAUGGUUAAGGUUGUAUUUUUAAUGUUUUUAUGUUGUGAAUUAGAAGCUGGAUAAUAUACCAGCUUAUUUAACUUUUUAAUUAUUAGUAGUGUCGCUGAUCAGCGAACACGCGAAUGUAAACAAACAGCUAAAAAUAGACCCAAUUCGGAGAUUCCUAACUUUUCAGA